Carassius auratus (goldfish) is the source of this 208-nucleotide long non-coding RNA. RefSeq lists it as uncharacterized. Lineage: Eukaryota; Metazoa; Chordata; Actinopteri; Cypriniformes; Cyprinidae. The record is from RefSeq and is a predicted model, not a curated record. The transcript has 3 exons.
UGACCAUCUUGUGCAUUUAUGAAGAAGACCAAAAGCUGCAAAGGCAAACACUUCCAAUGCUGAAGACCAGAAACGCAAAGAAAAUCAGUCAAACCAGUCCUAAAGAAAUGAGGAGUGAACAUGGACUUCUUGUGCCCCGAAAGAAAAGACAGAAAGAAUGAGCAAAUCAGCUGUGCAUCAUCUCUGUGAUUUGGGAAGGAAAUGACUG